Molecule: ribosomal RNA, 253 nt
Filed under: uncultured bacterium
Lineage: Bacteria
Description: partial 16S ribosomal RNA
Rfam family: Bacterial small subunit ribosomal RNA
Source: RNAcentral
UACAGAGGGGGCAAGCGUUGUUCGGAAUUACUGGGCGUAAAGGGCGCGUAGGCGGCCCUCUAAGUCAGACGUGAAAUCCCUCGGCUCAACCGGGGAACUGCGUCUGAUACUGGAUGGCUUGAGUUUGGGAGAGGGAUGCGGAAUUCCAGGUGUAGCGGUGAAAUGCGUAGAUAUCUGGAGGAACACCGGUGGCGAAGGCGGCAUCCUGGACCAACACUGACACUGAGGAGCGAAAGCCAGGGGAGCAAACGGG